Molecule: ribosomal RNA, 237 nt
Filed under: uncultured bacterium
Lineage: Bacteria
Description: partial 16S ribosomal RNA
Rfam family: Bacterial small subunit ribosomal RNA
Source: RNAcentral
GAUCAUGGCUCAGAUUGAACGCUGGCGGCAGGCCUAACACAUGCAAGUCGAACUGUAACAGGAAGCAGCUUGCUGCUUUGCUGACGAGUGGCGGACGGGUGAGUAAUGUCUGGGAAACUGCCUGAUGGGAGGGGGAUAACUACUGGAAACGGUAGCUAAUACCGCAUAACGUCGCAAGACCAAAGGAGGGGGACCUUCGGGCCUCUUGCCAUCGGAUGUGCCCAGAUGGGAUUAGCG